This 29-nucleotide non-coding RNA is filed under the name Rattus norvegicus (Norway rat). The record is from RNAcentral. Lineage: Eukaryota; Metazoa; Chordata; Mammalia; Rodentia; Muridae.
UGCCCUUACAUUUGCAUUUUGCUGAAGUA